RNAcentral lists this transfer RNA (57 nucleotides) under Plateros sp. UPOL A00632. RNAcentral's name for it is "partial tRNA-Ser". The record is from RNAcentral. Lineage: Eukaryota; Metazoa; Arthropoda; Insecta; Coleoptera; Lycidae.
AUACAAACAUAUUAAUGCUUUUUUAAAAGUUAGAAGCUUUCUUUAUAAUAUUUCUUU